GGAGAUGUACCCAAGUGGUUGAAGGGUCCGCACUCGAAAUGCGGUAGGUCGGGAGAUCCCCGGCGCAAGAGUUCAAAUCUCUUCAUCUCCGCCA
This 94-nucleotide transfer RNA is filed under the name Clostridia bacterium. RNAcentral's name for it is "tRNA-Ser". It matches the Rfam family "tRNA". Rfam says of the family: Transfer RNA (tRNA) molecules are approximately 80 nucleotides in length. Their secondary structure includes four short double-helical elements and three loops (D, anti-codon, and T loops). Further hydrogen bonds mediate the characteristic L-shaped molecular structure. tRNAs have two regions of fundamental functional importance: the anti-codon, which is responsible for specific mRNA codon recognition, and the 3' end, to which the tRNAs corresponding amino acid is attached (by aminoacyl-tRNA synthetases). tRNAs cope with the degeneracy of the genetic code in two manners: having more than one tRNA (with a specific anti-codon) for a particular amino acid; and 'wobble' base-pairing, i.e. permitting non-standard base-pairing at the 3rd anti-codon position. The record is from RNAcentral. Lineage: Bacteria; Bacillati; Bacillota; Clostridia.